This 424-nucleotide ribosomal RNA is filed under the name uncultured bacterium. RNAcentral describes it as "bacterial SSU rRNA". It matches the Rfam family "Bacterial small subunit ribosomal RNA", at positions 354 to 776 of the family's 1533-position model. The record is from RNAcentral. RNAcentral also lists the same sequence under 1 other name.
GUGAGGAAUAUUGGUCAAUGGCCGAGAGGCUGAACCAGCCAAGUCGCGUGAGGGAAGAAUGUCCUAUGGAUUGUAAACCUCUUUUGUCAGGGAGCAAAGUCACCCACGUGUGGGUGUUGGAGAGUACCUGAAGAAAAAGCAUCGGCUAACUCCGUGCCAGCAGCCGCGGUAAUACGGAGGAUGCGAGCGUUAUCCGGAUUUAUUGGGUUUAAAGGGUGCGUAGGCGGGUUAUCAAGUCAGCGGUAAAAUCGUGGAGCUCAACUCCAUCCAGCCGUUGAAACUGAUGAUCUUGAGUGGGCGAGAAGUAUGCGGAAUGCGUGGUGUAGCGGUGAAAUGCAUAGAUAUCACGCAGAACUCCGAUUGCGAAGGCAGCAUACCGGCGCCCGACUGACGCUGAAGCACGAAAGCGUGGGUAUCGAACAGG